This is a non-coding RNA of Pelobates cultripes (western spadefoot toad), 240 nucleotides long. NCBI's taxonomy places the organism in Eukaryota, Metazoa, Chordata, Amphibia, Anura, Pelobatidae. The record is from the annotation of a GenBank genome assembly.
GUGAGGGGGUUACUAGUGACAGAGUGAGGGAAGGGGUGACUAGUGGCAGAGUGAGGGAUGGAAGGGGUGACUAGUGACAGAGUGAGGGAGGUGGUGACUGUUACUAGUCACCACCUCCCUCACUCUGUCACUAGUCACCACCUCCCUCUGUCACUACUCCCUCCCUCCUUCUGUCACUACUCCCUCCCUCCUUCUGUCACUACUCCCUCCCUUCUUCUGUCACUAGUCACCCCCCAACAC